Molecule: ribosomal RNA, 1306 nt
Filed under: uncultured bacterium
Lineage: Bacteria
Description: partial 16S ribosomal RNA
Rfam family: Bacterial small subunit ribosomal RNA
Source: RNAcentral
UUAGAGUUUGAUCCUGGCUCAGGACGAACGCUGGCGGCGUGGAUUAGGCAUGCAAGUCGAACGGUAUGGUGCUUUCGGGCAUCAGAGAGUGGCGAACGGGUGAGUAACACGUAGGUUAUCUACCCUCAAGACGGGGACAACCCAGGGAAACUUGGGCUAAUACCGGAUGAAAGCAACCGUGAGGUUGUUUAAAAGAUGGCUUUAAGCUGUCGCUUGGGGAUGAGCCUGCGUCCUAUUAGUUAGUUGGUGAGGUAACGGCUCCCCAAGGCAAUGAUAGGUAGGCGGCCUUAACGGGUGGUCGCCCACACUGGGAUUGAGAAACGGCCCAGACUCCUACGGGAGGCAGCAGUCGAGAAUAGUCUACAAUGGCCGAAAGGCUGAUAGUGCGACGCCGCGUGAACGAGGAAUCCCUUCGGGGUGUAAAGUUCUUUUAUAUGUGAGCAGUGCCGGCUAUAUUAAUAGUAUAGUUGGAGAGAUAUUAGCAUAUGAAUAAGGAUCGGCUAACUCCGUGCCAGCAGCCGCGGUAAUACGGAGGAUCCGAGCGUUAUCCGGAAUUAUUGGGUUUAAAGGGUGCGUAGGCGGCCAUUUAAGUCAGCGGUGAAAUUUUGCAGCUUAACUGUAACAGUGCCGUUGAUACUGUUUGGCUAGGAUUUGGUUGUAGUGUGCGGAAUGUGUGGUGUAGCGGUGAAAUGCUUAGAUAUCACACAGAACACCGAUUGCGAAGGCAGCACACUAAGUCAUUAUUGACGCUGAGGCACGAAAGUGUGGGGAUCAAACAGGAUUAGAUACCCUGGUAGUCCACACUGUAAACGCUCAAAAGUCGCUGUCGGCGGUACACAAUCGGUGAACAAGCGAAAGCAAUAAGUUAUCCACCUGGGGAGUACGACCGCAAGAUUGAAACUCAAAAGAAUAGACGAGGAGCCGCACAAGCGGAGGAACAUGUGGUUUAAUUCGAUGAUACGCGAGGAACCUUACCCGGGCUCGAACGGUGCAUGAAUAUACGAGAGAUUGUAUAGUCCUUCGGGACAUGUAUCGAGGUGCUGCAUGGUUGUCGUCAGCUCGUGCCGUGAGGUGUCGGCUUAAGUGCCAUAACGAGCGCAACCCUUGUCAUUAGUUGCCAUCAGGUCAAGCUGGGGACUUUAAUGAGACUGCCACCGUAAGGUGUGAGGAAGGGGGGGAUGACGUCAAAUCAGCACGGCCCUUAUGUCCGGGGCGACACACGUGUUACAAUGGGAGGUACAGAGGGCAGCUAUCCGGUGACGGAAUGCUAAUCUCCAAAACCUUUCUCAGUUCGGAUUGGAGUCUG